GGAACUGCUGAGCCCUCUUUCACUACUUUUAGCAACAGUCCAGCUGCACUUUGUUUUCUCUUCCGAUGUGUGCCCAAAUGCAGGAGAUUUAGAAAUUGGCAAUUUAACUUGGAAACUUGAAUGUUGUAUGAGCAACAGAAAACAAUUCACACUGAAAAUUGUGGCUCAAAAAUUGGACUCAUUGGACUCGAUGUACAGCUCAGAAACAUGUCCUGGCACCAAUUACAGAGAGCGAAAGUGUUUGAAUCUCUCUCUAGCGGUAGAAAUGGUAAACACUGCAAACCAGCACAUUCUUUAAGAAAUACUUCACAUUAUAACAAGAUUUUAAGCACACAUGCAGUGUUAUUUUCUCUGAUGAAUCUUUAUAUGUUGGUUUUGUCUAUCAGGAAUUAUAAAGGUCUCUGUAAACCAUACAGUUUGUAAGGAAAACUACACUCAGCCUGAAUGCCACCCAAAUGUCACUUUCAACAAUACAGCUGUAAAUCUUCCACAACAGUAAGUAUGUUUCAUGUGUACUCAAUUACUGAAUACAAAGUUUCAGUAUAUUUGGUGCCACACAUGCUUUAAAUAAAUCGCCUGUAUAUUUUCCUUCAUAAAAGAAAUAGAAAUAUCUGCUUCAACAUGUCAUCAAAGAAUGGCAUGAAAGUAAAGAUUAAAUUUCAAUGUGCUGAGUACCCUGCUGCUAACAGUAAGCUCUACCCAACACAUUAAAAUUUCUUAAAGACUGCAUUUAACAAAGUCACAUGGAGUUUAUGUACAAUAUGUGUGCAUUACAUUUUUAAAACCUCUUGAUUCUUGUGUCCAGUCAGUCUACACAGCGAAAGUAAAAGUUGGAUUGAUGCCUUGGAGGACUGCCAGAUGGAACAUUUCUCCCUGGUUGAGAUCUGUGAAAAGAAAGUAAGGGAUGAUGUGAAAAGACUGCAAAAUAAAACAGACUCAAAGACGGGGGUGUGGAUUGGACUGCAAAGGUCCAUUUUUGGCUACAGUCCUGAGUGGAAGUGGAUUUCAGGGUAUAAUGUUGUAAAUUCACAGUUGAAUAGAACGUCGUCCGCCAACUCUGACUUUGACAACCACUGUGGAAAAGUCAUCUUUGAUAAUAAGACAGAAGAAAUCAAGUGGUCCAACGCCAACUGCCAUGAAAAAUUACCAUACAUUUGUCAAAGAAUGAAUGAAAAACCUUGUACUGAUGAUUAUACAGAGAAGUCAGAGCUUUUCAUUGACAUUGAGUGAACUGAUAGCACCAAAGAAAACAAUACGCAGCGUCUCCAAUCAUCAUCAUGUCAAGGUGAGAUUCUUGGAGAAGCAGAUUGAUGACCCAACAACCCCAAUGUGUAUAUAUGCUGUUUGUAUGUAUGUAUGUAUGCUGUAGUGUUGUGUUUCACAGGAAAACUACUUUGGUUACUAUCAUUUGCAAGCCUUGUUAAAUUACCAGUUCACCCACCACUUCUCAGAAGUACCUGUAUUUGUCAAAGACGCUUCUAUGUAAAGAGUCGAUGUAUUAUUUUUGUCAUUAAAAACUUAAAUAUCUGGCUAAUUUAACCGAGCGGUUAUAAGAAACAACAUUUUUAAACAUUGAAUUUGAACUCGCGAUUUUCUUUUUCUCUCAAACAAAAAAACUAAAGAAUAUUCAUUCUGUGCUAAUAAUAAAAUGUAAAGUUAACAAAAUGCAAACUGUA
Long non-coding RNA from Oreochromis aureus, 1676 nucleotides. RefSeq lists it as uncharacterized. Lineage: Eukaryota; Metazoa; Chordata; Actinopteri; Cichliformes; Cichlidae. The transcript has 4 exons. The record is from RefSeq and is a predicted model, not a curated record.